Non-coding RNA from Phalacrocorax carbo (great cormorant), 629 nucleotides. The record is from RefSeq and is a predicted model, not a curated record. Lineage: Eukaryota; Metazoa; Chordata; Aves; Suliformes; Phalacrocoracidae.
UGGCCCUGUCCCAUGGCUGCUGGCCCCAUCCUACAGGUGCUGGCCCCGUCCCAUGGGUGCUGGCCCUGUCCCAUGGCUGCUGGCCCCAUCCUACAGGUGCUGGCCCCGUCCCAUGGGUGCUGGCCCCGUCCCAUGGGUGCUGGCCCCGUCCCAUGGGUGCUGGCCCCGUCCCAUGGGUGCUGGCCCUGUCCCAUGGGUGCUGGCCCCACCAAGGCUGUUGGGGCUCUUACCAAGGCACUGGCAGCCGAAUGCUUGGAGUCCUUGAAGAAGCUCCAUCCCCAUCUCCAUCUCAUCUCCAUUUGCAUCCUCAUCAUCCCUGCGCCUCGCUGGGUACUCACCCUCUGCUCCAUGGGACCGUACCGCAUCACCCCAGGGUACAGAUCGUGGGAGCUGCCUCGAUCUCCUGUGGGUGGGGGUUCCCACGACGUCUCACCUGUUACUGAAUUAUAGAAAAAAACCUGUCCGCUGGCUUCGUCCAUGUACUGUUCCCACUCGGGAAGCUCCGGGCUGUGGGUGAGUGAGGAGGCGGGAGAGGCGACGGGACUCACUCCAUCUUCUGCCUGCCCAAAGGGACAAUCCCACGUGGUCUCGCCCGUCACUGGGUUAUAAUAAAACAAAUGUCCACUGUC